This 843-nucleotide ribosomal RNA is filed under the name uncultured bacterium. Its description in RNAcentral is "bacterial SSU rRNA". It matches the Rfam family "Bacterial small subunit ribosomal RNA", at positions 32 to 908 of the family's 1533-position model. The record is from RNAcentral.
AACGCUGGCGGCGCGCUUAACACAUGCAAGUCGAACGGGAAAGGGGAGCAAUCCCUGAGUACAGUGGCGUACGGGUGAGUAACACGUGGAUCAUCUACCUCCUGGUGGGGAAUAACUUUGGGAAACCGAAGCUAAUACCGCAUAAGCCCGAAAGGGGAAAGGCGCAAGUCGCCGGGAGAGGAGUCCGCGGCCGAUUAGCUAGUUGGUAGGGUAAAAGCCUACCAAGGCUGAGAUCGGUAGCCGGCCUGAGAGGGCACACGGCCACACUGGCACUGAAACACGGGCCAGACUCCUACGGGAGGCAGCAGUGGGGAAUCUUGCACAAUGGGGGAAACCCUGAUGCAGCGACGCCGCGUGAGCGAUGAAGCCCUUCGGGGUGUAAAGCUCUUUCGACAGGAACGAUAAUGACGGUACCUGGAGAAGAAGCUGCGGCUAACUACGUGCCAGCAGCCGCGGUAAUACGUAGGCAGCAAGCGUUGUUCGGAGUUACUGGGCGUAAAGAGUAUGUAGGCGGUUAUCCAAGUCUGGUGUGAAAUCUCCCGGCUCAACUGGGAGGGUGCGCCGGAUACUGGGUGACUGGAGCGUGGGAGAGGAAAGCGGAAUUUCUGGUGUAGCGGUGAAAUGCGUAGAUAUCAGGAGGAACACCAGCGGUGUAGACGGCUUUCUGGACCACGGCUGACGCUGAGAUACGAAAGCGUGGGUAGCAAACAGGAUUAGAUACCCUGGUAGUCCACGCCCUAAACGAUGCACACUUGGUGUGAGCCAUUCAUUUGGUUCGUGCCGGAGCUAACGCGUUAAGUGUGCCGCCUGGGGAGUACGGUCGCAAGGCUGAAAACUUAAGGA